RNAcentral lists this transfer RNA (64 nucleotides) under Cavia porcellus (domestic guinea pig). It matches the Rfam family "tRNA", at positions 1 to 62 of the family's 71-position model. Rfam says of the family: Transfer RNA (tRNA) molecules are approximately 80 nucleotides in length. Their secondary structure includes four short double-helical elements and three loops (D, anti-codon, and T loops). The record is from Rfam by way of RNAcentral. Lineage: Eukaryota; Metazoa; Chordata; Mammalia; Rodentia; Caviidae.
GGGGAUUUAGCUCAGCGGCAUAAGCGCCUGCCUUGCAAGCAGGCAGAUGCGAGUUCAAUCCCCG